GGGGUACUCGAGCGGCGAACGGGUGAGUAACACGUGAGUAAUCUGCCCUUGGCUUCGGGAUAGCCACCGGAAACGGUGAUUAAUACCGGAUACGACACAUCGCUGCAUGGUGCGUGUGUGGAAAGUUUUUUCGGCCAGGGAUGUGCUCGCGGCCUAUCAGCUUGUUGGUGGGGUAAUGGCCUACCAAGGCUUCGACGGGUAGCCGGCCUGAGAGGGUGACCGGCCACACUGGGACUGAGACACGGCCCAGACUCCUACGGGAGGCAGCAGUGGGGAAUAUUGGACAAUGGGCGGAAGCCUGAUCCAGCAACGCCGCGUGAGGGAUGACGGCCUUCGGGUUGUAAACCUCUUUCAGCACAGACGAAGCGCAAGUGACGGUAUGUGCAGAAGAAGGACCGGCCAACUACGUGCCAGCAGCCGCGGUAAUACGUAGGGUCCGAGCGUUGUCCGGAAUUAUUGGGCGUAAAGGGCUCGUAGGCGGUUUGUCGCGUCGGGAGUGAAAACACCGGCGUUAACUCGGUGCUUGCUUUCGAUACGGGCAGACUAGAGGUAUUCAGGGGAGAACGGAAUUCCUGGUGUAGCGGUGAAAUGCGCAGAUAUCAGGAGGAACACCGGUGGCGAAGGCGGUUCUCUGGGAAUAUCCUGACGCUGAGGAGCGAAAGUGUGGGGAGCGAACAGGAUUAGAUACCCUGGUAGUCCACACCGUAAACGUUGGGCGCUAGGUGUGGGGUCCAUUCCACGGA
This 743-nucleotide ribosomal RNA is filed under the name uncultured Nocardioides sp. RNAcentral describes it as "bacterial SSU rRNA". It matches the Rfam family "Bacterial small subunit ribosomal RNA", at positions 84 to 838 of the family's 1533-position model. Lineage: Bacteria; Bacillati; Actinomycetota; Actinomycetes; Propionibacteriales; Nocardioidaceae. The record is from RNAcentral.